Long non-coding RNA from Musca domestica (house fly), 813 nucleotides. RefSeq lists it as uncharacterized. The record is from RefSeq and is a predicted model, not a curated record. The transcript has 2 exons. Lineage: Eukaryota; Metazoa; Arthropoda; Insecta; Diptera; Muscidae.
AUAUUUUUUCGUUGUUCUGAGAGUGAUUUGAUUUGAACAACGUACAAAUAUGAGUGUUCGCUCAGAAAAUUUUGUGUGAAGAAUAACGUAGUUUUUUCAUAGUUAAGGGUCAAACAACGAAUAGAGAGCGAAUCAAGUGCAGUGGAAACGCCACAUUACGAACGUAAAAUUCGAAAUUUGAAAUAAUUCCGGUAAAAAAUUUGGGCAAUGUCAUCAAAAUACUGAAAAAAGGGAGGUGUCGGUAUAUGUGGGUUGAAUGAAGUCGUAGGCCCACAUAGUCAAUUCUCCGUCAUUGGUUGUAUUACCCAUUACGAGCUUUACAUACGAAAUUAGAAAUGAUUGCGGUGAACAAUGUCCCUAUAAUCAUCAAAAUACCGAAUACUGGAAGUUAUCAUCAUGAAUUUUAAAUACGAAAUUUAAAACAAUCCCGAUACACUCGGAUAAUAGAUGAAAAAUGUCAAUUUGAUUUAAUUAUAUCGCACUUUCCUUUCAUCGUUUUUGCCCUUUUCUGAUUCGGACAAUAAAGAAAAAUUGUCAAUCAACAACAUCAAAAACCAAAUCAAAUGGAGAUUUGGCUACUGCAGAAGUCUUAUGAUAAACGUUAAGCCGGUGGGCUGGAAUUUUGAAAAUAAAUUGUGAAAGUUUGAUUUGCAUACAAAUAAAUCAAUUGUGGGAUUUAUUUUGUUUAAUGGAAGUUGGAAUUUUGUUUGAGUUGUAUGAUUUAUUUAAGAGCACUUUCGUUAGAAUUCUAUUGGAAAUUGUAAAUAAACUAUUUCUGGAACCGUAUUAAAAAUGGAUGUUAACAAAAACUAA